GCCGGGGUGGCGGAAUUGGUAGACGCAAGGGACUUAAAAUCCCUCGGCGGGCAACUGCCGUGUCGGUUCGAGUCCGACCCUCGGCA
This 86-nucleotide transfer RNA is filed under the name Nitrospinota bacterium. RNAcentral describes it as "tRNA-Leu". It matches the Rfam family "tRNA". Rfam says of the family: Transfer RNA (tRNA) molecules are approximately 80 nucleotides in length. Lineage: Bacteria; Pseudomonadati; Nitrospinota. The record is from RNAcentral.